RNAcentral lists this transfer RNA (72 nucleotides) under Marmota monax (woodchuck). It matches the Rfam family "tRNA". Rfam says of the family: Transfer RNA (tRNA) molecules are approximately 80 nucleotides in length. The record is from Rfam by way of RNAcentral. Lineage: Eukaryota; Metazoa; Chordata; Mammalia; Rodentia; Sciuridae.
GGAGUUGUAGCUCAAUGGUAGAGCACUUGCCUAGCAUGUAAGAGGCACUGGGUUUGAACCUCAGCAUCACAU